AGACCCGAAACCCGGUGAUCUAGCCAUGGGCAGGUUGAAGGUUGGGUAACACUAACUGGAGGACCGAACCGACUAAUGUUGAAAAAUUAGCGGAUGACCUGUGGCUGGGGGUGAAAGGCCAAUCAAACCGGGAGAUAGCUGGUUCUCCCCGAAAGCUAUUUAGGUAGCGCCUCGUGAAUUCAUCUCCGGGGGUAGAGCACUGUUUCGGCUAGGGGGCCAUCCCGGCUUACCAACCCGAUGCAAACUGCGAAUACCGGAGAAUGUUAUCACGGGAGACACACGGCGGGUGCUAACGUCCGUCGUGAAGAGGGAAACAACCCAGACCGCCAGCUAAGGUCCCAAAGUCAUGGUUAAGUGGGAAACGAUGUGGGAAGGCCCAGACAGCCAGGAUGUUGGCUUAGAAGCAGCCAUCAUUUAAAGAAAGCGUAAUAGCUCACUGGUCGAGUCGGCCUGCGCGGAAGAUGUAACGGGGCUAAACCAUGCACCGAAGCUGCGGCAGCGAACGUAUCACUUAAAGCGAUUCAGCGGGUUACGAUUGACGGAGCGAAGCGACGUCAAAGCGUAUACAAAGUCGAGUCGGUUUAAGGAUACGUUCGUUGGGUAGGGGAGCGUUCUGUAA
This 619-nucleotide ribosomal RNA is filed under the name Salmonella enterica subsp. enterica serovar Infantis. RNAcentral describes it as "partial 23S ribosomal RNA". It matches the Rfam family "Bacterial large subunit ribosomal RNA", at positions 711 to 1246 of the family's 2925-position model. Lineage: Bacteria; Pseudomonadati; Pseudomonadota; Gammaproteobacteria; Enterobacterales; Enterobacteriaceae. RNAcentral also lists the same sequence under 3 other names. The record is from RNAcentral.